GUAGUCCACGCCGUAAACGAUGAAUACUAGGUGUGGGGGGACUGACCCCCUCCGUGCCGGAGUUAACACAUUAAGUAUUCCACCUGGGGAGUACGAUCGCAAGAUUGAAACUCAAAGGAAUUGACGGGGGCCCGCACAAGCAGUGGAUUAUGUGGUUUAAUUCGAAGCAACGCGAAGAACCUUACCAGGGUUUGACAUCCAACUAACGAAGCAGAGAUGCAUUAGGUGCCCUUCGGGGAAAGUUGAGACAGGUGGUGCAUGGUUGUCGUCAGCUCGUGUCGUGAGAUGUUGGGUUAAGUCCCGCAACGAGCGCAACCCUUAUUGCUAGUUGCUACGCAAGAGCACUCUAGCGAGACUGCCGUUGACAAAACGGA
RNAcentral lists this ribosomal RNA (374 nucleotides) under uncultured bacterium. Its description in RNAcentral is "bacterial SSU rRNA". It matches the Rfam family "Bacterial small subunit ribosomal RNA", at positions 790 to 1167 of the family's 1533-position model. The record is from RNAcentral.